Biomphalaria pfeifferi is the source of this 765-nucleotide non-coding RNA. NCBI's taxonomy places the organism in Eukaryota, Metazoa, Mollusca, Gastropoda, Planorbidae. The record is from the annotation of a GenBank genome assembly.
CCCCCCCCCCCCCCCCCCAAAUCCAUAUUCUUUACUAAUUUCAAUGAACAAACUUUCCACCACUGUCAUUCAAGUCUAGCACAUACAGACACAAGACUUGACAAAACACGUGUACUCUGACAGAUUUACUUUCCAAUGAAAACCGAAAUCUAACACCAAAUCUUGUUAAGUUUUAAAAUGUUUUGUUUUUUUUAUAAAAAGUAAAAAAACAUAUAAAUGACAAGUCUGACUUUUCAAAAACUUAAUUUUUUUCUUUAUAGCUGUGACGUGUGUCACGCAGGUUUGUUUAGUUACUUUUUUAGUACAAAAAAAAACGUUUUUAUCCCCAACGGUCAACAGUAAACGAGUUUGGUUACAAAUGUCUAGCAUAACAACCAACCGUCUUUAUUUUUCCAUCACAAGCCAUAGAGACACUUCAGAUAGGUCAGGGGAGGGAGGAUAUCUCUGCUGUUGUUAGGAGAAACUUGUGUGUGUAGGUGUGUUGCCAUUAGUUACGAGGGACUCUAUUCUUAAUACAACUAACAAUCUUCAAAUUAGUUUUGUACCACAAUGUACAAAAAAAAAAGCCCGACAUCCUCCGGACACUAUCUUAUAAUUUACAGACGUUCCAUCAAAAUAGAAGAUAAUGUCGUCCUGCGCUUAUUUAUUUGCUAAUCAUUUAAUGAUUAUUAAAGAAAAGUUGAUUUCAGAGAAAAAAACAAAUUCAUUAAGACCUCGAAGUAGGCGGUUUUAUUUAUAUCUUUGUAGGUUGUCUUGGUUGUAGGU